Molecule: ribosomal RNA, 573 nt
Filed under: Macrophomina phaseolina
Lineage: Eukaryota; Fungi; Ascomycota; Dothideomycetes; Botryosphaeriales; Botryosphaeriaceae
Description: eukaryotic LSU rRNA
Rfam family: 5.8S ribosomal RNA (bases 215-368)
Source: RNAcentral
UCCCGUAAGGGUGACCUGCGGAAGGAUCAUUACCGAGUUGAUUCGGGCUCCGUCCCGAUCCUCCCACCCUUUGUAUACCUACCUCUGUUGCUUUGGCGGGCCGCGGUCUUCCGCGGCCGCCCCCCGAUUUUGGGGGGUGGCUAGUGCCCGCCAGAGGACUAUCAAACUCCAGUCAGUAAACGUUGCAGUCUGAAAAAAAUAUUAAAUAAACUAAAACUUUCAACAACGGAUCUCUUGGUUCUGGCAUCGAUGAAGAACGCAGCGAAAUGCGAUAAGUAAUGUGAAUUGCAGAAUUCAGUGAAUCAUCGAAUCUUUGAACGCACAUUGCGCCCCUUGGUAUUCCGGGGGGCAUGCCUGUUCGAGCGUCAUUUCAACCCUCAAGCUCUGCUUGGUAUUGGGCACCGUCCUUUGCGGGCGCGCCUCAAAGACCUCGGCGGUGGCGUCUUGCCUCAAGCGUAGUAGAAUACACCUCGCUUCGGAGCGUAAGGCGUCGCCCGCCGGACGAACCUUCUGAACUUUUCUCAAGGUUGACCUCGGAUCAGGUAGGGAUACCCGCUGAACAUAAGAGGAUCA